Molecule: unclassified non-coding RNA, 300 nt
Organism: Callithrix jacchus (white-tufted-ear marmoset)
Lineage: Eukaryota; Metazoa; Chordata; Mammalia; Primates; Cebidae
Rfam family: Metazoan signal recognition particle RNA
About the family: The signal recognition particle (SRP) is a universally conserved ribonucleoprotein. It is involved in the co-translational targeting of proteins to membranes. The eukaryotic SRP consists of a 300-nucleotide 7S RNA and six proteins: SRPs 72, 68, 54, 19, 14, and 9.
Source: Ensembl
GCUUGGCGCCGUGGCAUGUGCCUGUAGUCCCAGCUGCUCGGGAGGCUGAGGUGGGAGGAUUGCUUGAGCCCAGGAGUUCUGGGCUGUAGUGCGUUAUGCCAAUCGGGUGUCCGCACUAAGUUUGGCAUCAAUAUGGUGACCUCCCGGGAGCGGGGGACCACCAGGUUGCCUAAGGAGGGGUGAACUGGCCCAAGUCAGAAAUGGAGCAGGUCAAAACUCCCGUGCUGAUCAGUAGUGGGAUUGCGCCUGUGAAUAGCCACUGCACUCCAGCCUGGGCAAUAUAGUGAGAACCCAUCGCUU